CAUUUCAAAUGGAAGCUGGUGUGCCAGUUUAGCCGGUGAUCAUGUUAACUGGUGAUAUUUGCAGAAAAUCUGUGAACAUUCAACAAGGCUCUGCCUACUUUUUAAGAGCGCUCUG
Molecule: long non-coding RNA, 115 nt
Organism: Etheostoma cragini (Arkansas darter)
Lineage: Eukaryota; Metazoa; Chordata; Actinopteri; Perciformes; Percidae
Exons: 4
Source: RefSeq, a predicted model, not a curated record